RNAcentral lists this ribosomal RNA (497 nucleotides) under uncultured bacterium. Its description in RNAcentral is "partial 16S ribosomal RNA". It matches the Rfam family "Bacterial small subunit ribosomal RNA", at positions 28 to 507 of the family's 1533-position model. The record is from RNAcentral.
GAUGAACGCUGGCGGCGUGCCUAAUACAUGCAAGUCGAGCGAACAGACGAGGAGCUUGCUCCUCUGACGUUAGCGGCGGACGGGUGAGUAACACGUGGAUAACCUACCUAUAAGACUGGGAUAACUUCGGGAAACCGGAGCUAAUACCGGAUAAUAUAUUGAACCGCAUGGUUCAAUAGUGAAAGACGGUUUUGCUGUCACUUAUAGAUGGAUCCGCGCCGCAUUAGCUAGUUGGUAAGGUAAAGGCUUACCAAGGCAACGAUGCGUAGCCGACCUGAGAGGGUGAUCGGCCACACUGGAACUGAGACACGGUCCAGGCUCCUACGGGAGGCAGCAGUAGGGAAUCUUCCGCAAUGGGCGAAAGCCUGACGGAGCAACGCCGCGUGAGUGAUGAAGGUCUUCGGAUCGUAAAACUCUGUUAUUAGGGAAGAACAAAUGUGUAAGUAACUAUGCACGUCUUGACGGUACCUAAUCAGAAAGCCACGGCUAACUACGUG